CACGUAGGGUGCGAGCGUUGUCCGGAAUUAUUGGGCGUAAAGAGCUCGUAGGUGGUUUGUCGCGUUGUUCGUGAAAACUCACAGCUCAACUGUGGGCGUGCGGGCGAUACGGGCAGACUGGAGUACUGCAGGGGAGACUGGAAUUCCUGGUGUAGCGGUGGAAUGCGCAGAUAUCAGGAGGAACACCUGCGGCGAAGGCGGGUUGCUGGGCUGACACUGACGCUGAGGCGCGAAAGCUAGGGGAGCGAACGGG
Molecule: ribosomal RNA, 253 nt
Filed under: uncultured bacterium
Lineage: Bacteria
Description: partial 16S ribosomal RNA
Rfam family: Bacterial small subunit ribosomal RNA
Source: RNAcentral